Molecule: ribosomal RNA, 468 nt
Filed under: uncultured bacterium
Lineage: Bacteria
Description: partial 16S ribosomal RNA
Rfam family: Bacterial small subunit ribosomal RNA
Source: RNAcentral
GACGAACGCUGGCGGCGUGCUUAACACAUGCGAGUCGAACGGAAAAGCCCUGCUUUUGUGGGGUGCUCGAGUGGCGAACGGGUGAGUAACACGUGAGUAACCUGCCCUUGACUUUGGGAUAACUUCAGGAAACUGGGGCUAAUACCGGAUAGGAGCUCCUGCUGCAUGGUGGGGGUUGGAAAGUUUCGGCGGUUGGGGAUGGACUCGCGGCUUAUCAGCUUGUUGGUGGGGUAGUGGCUUACCAAGGCUUUGACGGGUAGCCGGCCUGAGAGGGUGACCGGCCACAUUGGGACUGAGAUACGGCCCAGACUCCUACGGGAGGCAGCAGUGGGGAAUAUUGCACAAUGGGCGGAAGCCUGAUGCAGCAACGCCGCGUGCGGGAUGACGGCCUUCGGGUUGUAAACCGCUUUCGCCUGUGACGAAGCGUGAGUGACGGUAAUGGGUAAAGAAGCACCGGCUAACUACGUG